This 74-nucleotide transfer RNA is filed under the name Perca fluviatilis (European perch). It matches the Rfam family "tRNA". From Rfam's summary of the family: Transfer RNA (tRNA) molecules are approximately 80 nucleotides in length. Lineage: Eukaryota; Metazoa; Chordata; Actinopteri; Perciformes; Percidae. The record is from Rfam by way of RNAcentral.
GCUGUGAUGGCCGAGUGGUUGGACUUGAAAUCCAAUGGGGUUUCCCCGUGCAGGUUUAAACCCUGCUCACAGCG